RNAcentral lists this long non-coding RNA (314 nucleotides) under Hordeum vulgare. RNAcentral's name for it is "long non-coding RNA (HVUL_LNC018773)". The record is from RNAcentral. Lineage: Eukaryota; Viridiplantae; Streptophyta; Magnoliopsida; Poales; Poaceae.
UUGAUUGUUGGUCAUGAUAUUCCCUGGCAAGGUGCCAGAAAUCCUUCUUGACACUUGUGAUUUGCGUUGGGUUUUCGUGAAGAGGAACGGGUAACAGUAGCACAAUACGCGUAAGUAUUUCCCUCAGUUAAGAAACCAAGGUUUAUCGAACCAAUAGGAAUAUAACUACUCGACUAUCUUCAACUGUUGCACAUAAAAGAGAAAACAACUUCACCCAACGGGGGCAACAGGGUUGUCAAUCCCCUUGAUCUCAUUAUUGGCAAGCGAAUGAGGUGUGAAGAUAACUGUAGACAAUUGUAACUUGAAAACUAAAA